AAUAUUAUUUAUUAUUAUUAAUUAUUAUUAUUAUUGUUGUUAUUAUUAUUACGUAAAUUAACACGCAUUAAUUUCUCCUAUCGAUCAUUCAUUCACUAAUCUCACUUUCGUUUCUUCACGUUUUCUCCAUUUAGAUCUCAUUCGCGCGUCUCUUUUGCACAAUUUUCGUUCAUCGCUAUACACAUGCGCACACGCAGACACUCGUCUAGGAUAUUAGACUCUCUCUCUCCUUAACAAGAUACAUAAUUAAAUGUAUAUAUAUAUAUAUAUAUACAUGUACAUAUACAUAUAUUUAUAUAUAUAUAUAUGCUCGCCGUUUUGCGACGCGCCAAUGAUAAAACAUAAAUACACGCUUCUUAGGGCACCUUUGGUAUUAAGCUUGAUGUAUUCGUCUUCGUCUCUUUUGUAUCUCUAUAUUAUGCAAUUUCGUCUACGAGCCUCCGCGCUUGUCUUCGCAUUUUUUUUUUCUUUUCUCUUCUUUUCCUUUUCUCUCAUUCGAAUCCACGUGGAUCGA
This 514-nucleotide long non-coding RNA is filed under the name Apis dorsata (giant honeybee). RNAcentral describes it as "uncharacterized LOC116185001, transcript variant X1". The record is from RNAcentral. Lineage: Eukaryota; Metazoa; Arthropoda; Insecta; Hymenoptera; Apidae.